GAUGAACGCUGGCGGCGUGCCUAAUACAUGCAAGUCGAGCGAACAGACGAGGAGCUUGCUCCUCUGACGUUAGCGGCGGACGGGUGAGUAACACGUGGAUAACCUACCUAUAAGGCUGGGAUAACUUCGGGAAACCGGAGCUAAUACCGGAUAACAUGUUGAACCGCAUGGUUCAACAGUGAAAGACGGUCUUGCUGUCACUUAUAGAUGGAUCCGCGCCGCAUUAGCUAGUUGGUAAGGUAACGGCUUACCAAGGCAACGAUGCGUAGCCGACCUGAGAGGGGGAUCGGCCACACUGGAACUGAGACACGGUCCAGACUCCUACGGGAGGCAGCAGUAGGGAAUCUUCCGCAAUGGGCGAAAGCCUGACGGAGCAACGCCGCGUGAGUGAAGAAGGUCUUCGGAUCGUAAAACUCUGUUAUUAGGGAAGAACAAAUGUGUAAGUAACUAUGCACGUCUUGACGGUACCUAAUCAGAAAGCCACGGCUAACUACGUG
RNAcentral lists this ribosomal RNA (497 nucleotides) under uncultured bacterium. RNAcentral describes it as "partial 16S ribosomal RNA". It matches the Rfam family "Bacterial small subunit ribosomal RNA", at positions 28 to 507 of the family's 1533-position model. The record is from RNAcentral.